UACGGGGGGGGCAAGCGUUGUUCGGAAUUACUGGGCGUAAAGGGCUCGUAGGUGGCCAACUAAGUCGGACGUGAAAUCCCUCGGCUUAACCGGGGAACUGCGUCCGAUACUGGUUGGCUUGAGUUUGGGAGAGGGAUGCGGAAUUCCAGGUGUAGCGGUGAAAUGCGUAGAUAUCUGGAGGAACACCGGUGGCGAAAGCGGCCCACUGGACCUUCUCUGACGCUGAGGUGCGAAAGCUAGGGUAGCAAACGGG
RNAcentral lists this ribosomal RNA (253 nucleotides) under uncultured bacterium. RNAcentral's name for it is "partial 16S ribosomal RNA". It matches the Rfam family "Bacterial small subunit ribosomal RNA", at positions 524 to 776 of the family's 1533-position model. The record is from RNAcentral.